RNAcentral lists this ribosomal RNA (430 nucleotides) under Satsuma sp. SPW-2007. RNAcentral's name for it is "partial 16S ribosomal RNA". It matches the Rfam family "Bacterial large subunit ribosomal RNA", at positions 1829 to 2609 of the family's 2925-position model. The record is from RNAcentral. Lineage: Eukaryota; Metazoa; Mollusca; Gastropoda; Stylommatophora; Camaenidae.
AGCCAUAAGAGCUAUAUUUAUGGUACUUUCUGCUCAAUGAAAUUUAAAUAGCCGCAGUACUUUGACUGUGCAAAGGUAGCAUAAUCGUUUGGCUUUUAAUUGAAGUCUAGUAUGAAUGAACAAUUGGAAAAGUACUGUAUCAAUAGAAGCGCCUAAACUUACUUAUGAGGUGAAAAUUCCUUUAGUUAAAUAAUAGACGAGAAGACCCUUGAAAUUUUUAUAAUAAUUUAAUUUUUUUUUGUUGGGGCGACAAAGUAGCAGAAUAACCUACAUUUAUUAACAUGUCAUUUUUAUAAAGAAAGAAUAAAUUACUCAAGGGAUAACAGCAUAAUUAAAAAUAGUUUGUGACCUCGAUGUUGGAUUAGGGUAAUCUAACCCAGAAGGUAUUGAUUAAUGCUCUGUUCGAGCAAUUUACCCUACGUGAUCUGAG